CACCGCGGUUAUACGAGAGGCCCAAGUUGUUAAUCACCGGCGUAAAGCGUGGUUUAGAAACCCAGACUUACUAAAGCCGAACACCCUCCAAACUGUCGUACGCUUCCGAGGGUGAGAAGCCCAAUUCACGAAAGUAGCUUUACAACAUCUGACCCCACGAAAGCCAGGGAA
This 171-nucleotide ribosomal RNA is filed under the name Datnioides microlepis (Indonesian tiger fish). RNAcentral describes it as "partial 12S rRNA". Lineage: Eukaryota; Metazoa; Chordata; Actinopteri; Lobotiformes; Datnioididae. The record is from RNAcentral.